GGGGAGGUGCCGGAGUGGUCGAUCGGGGCCGCCUGCUAAGCGGUUGUGGGGGUAAAACUCCACCCAGGGUUCGAAUCCCUGCCUCCCCG
Molecule: transfer RNA, 89 nt
Filed under: Pseudomonadota bacterium
Lineage: Bacteria; Pseudomonadati; Pseudomonadota
Also listed under: 4 other names
Description: tRNA-Ser
Rfam family: tRNA
About the family: Transfer RNA (tRNA) molecules are approximately 80 nucleotides in length. Their secondary structure includes four short double-helical elements and three loops (D, anti-codon, and T loops).
Source: RNAcentral